Molecule: unclassified non-coding RNA, 237 nt
Filed under: uncultured fungus
Lineage: Eukaryota; Fungi
Description: sequence contains ITS1
Source: RNAcentral
GUUUCAAUUAGAUUUUCAAGGCUGUACUUCAAAAGUAUUAACUUUGAAAUACUGCUGCUGAUAUCAGCCAAAAUAAUACAAUCGACAGGAACUUUAACGAAUAGCACAAUUCUGCGCAUUCACAAAACUCCGACAAUUGAAAUAAUUGUUUAGGUGUAAAAAAGUGUUCAGGUUGAAAACCCCUUUCACUCAUUAUAGAAUCCUUGAAUGAUCCUUCCGCAGGUUCACCUACGGAAA